This 393-nucleotide transfer-messenger RNA is filed under the name Candidatus Omnitrophota. Its description in RNAcentral is "JADGBA01 sp015231685 Standard tmRNA". It matches the Rfam family "transfer-messenger RNA". From Rfam's summary of the family: Bacterial tmRNA, also known as 10Sa RNA or SsrA, is named for its dual tRNA and mRNA-like properties. Its role is to liberate the mRNA from a stalled ribosome. RNAcentral also lists the same sequence under 1 other name. The record is from RNAcentral. Lineage: Bacteria; Pseudomonadati.
GGGGGCGAACGGUCUCGAUCCGGGCAAUCGUUCGCGCGGUGGCCAUGCAGAGGUUGCGAGGAGGCCUCUUAAAACACCUUGCAUCGUACAAACGCGAAAACAAGCGUAAACUCAUUCCAGGUGCCGGCUUUCCGGCUCCCGGUGAUGAGCCCAGUAGCUCUCUAAAAAGAGCUGCCGUCGCGGGUUCUACGCCUGCGGGAAUUUUGCGACGACUCAUAGCGGGCUGGCUGCAAGCUUUUAGCCUUUGGGGCUUGCGGUGAGAUUCCAAAGGCUGGUUCUCAGGGAUCCCGUCCGUCGGAGACUUGGGGAUGAGACCAAAAGGCGAGACUAAGCAUGUAGAGGCUGCGUGUGGGAUUUCCGGAGACGCGGGUUCGAUUCCCGCCGCCUCCACCA